GAGGAGAGGACGUGCCGGGAAAAGAAUGCAGAAAGGAGAUUUUUUUUGGCCACAGAGUUUUUGCUAAAAGCAGCUAGGAAGCCCCACGGCUCCAGUGUGCGUGAACUCCUGGUAAUUUCCUUGGGGAAUCCCGCCUCAGAGAACCUCUACCCCGAGAAUUAGGAGGAAGCUGAGCUAGGCUGACUUGAGGAAAGAGAGCUGGAGGAGCGGGGUUCAACAUUUUUCAAAAUAAAAAGUUGGUAGAAUAAUAGGAAGCCAUGAGGACCAAGAAGCUCACAUUUCCAAGGCUUUCUAAGUUUCACCUUGAAGCAAGAUACAUCAUAAAGCAUUGUCUAGGUACAACUUGCACUUUCCUGUCCAAGCCUCAGACCCUGUUCUUCAUCUGGGCCCACAGAGCAACAGCUUCCACUUUUGUGGCCAAAGAAAAAUGCUAACCAGCUUGUAAUUGCUGUAAGGAGUUUUCAGAUUUUCCCGGGCAAGAUGGCCGAAUAGGAACAGCUCCGGUCUGCAGCUCCCAGCAAGACCAAUGCAGAAGGGGGGUGAUUUCUGCAUUUCCAACUGAGGUACCCGGCUCAUCUCACUGGGACUGGUUAGACAGUGGGUGCAUCCCACAGAGGGAGCUGAAGCAGGGUGGGUGUUCCGUCACCCAGGAAGUGCAAGGGGUCAGGGAACUCCCUCCCCUAGCCAAGGGAAGCUGUGAGGGACUGUGCCAUGAGGGACAGAGCUAUCCAGCCCAGAUACUAUGCUUUUCCCACUGUCUUCGCAACUUGCAGACCAGGAGAUUUCCUCAGUGCCUACACCACCAGGACCCGGGAUUUCAAGCACAAAGCUGAGUGGUCAUUUGGGCAGACACGGAGCUAGUUGCAGGAGUUUUUUUUCAUACCCCAGUGGUGCCUGGAAUGCCAGCGAGACAGAACCAUUCAUUCACCUGUAGAGGGGCUAAAGCCAGGAAGCCAAGUGGUCUUGCUCAGCAGAUCCCACCCCCACGGAGCACAACAAGCUAAGAUCCACUGGCUUGAAAUUCUCACUGCCAGCACAGCAGUCUGAAGUCAACCUGGGGUGCUAGAGCUUGGUGGGGGGAGGGUCAUCCGCCAUUACUGAGUCAUGAGAAGGUGAUUUUCCCCUCACAGUGUAAACAAAGCCACCAUGAAGUUCGAACUGGGCAGAGCCCACCACAGCUUGGGAAAGCCCCUGUAGCCAGACUGCCUCUCUACAUUCCUCCUCUCUGGGCAGGGCAUCUGUGAAAGAAAGGCAGCAGCCCCAGUCAGGGGCUUAUGGAUGAAACUCCCAUCUCCCUGGGACAGAGCACCUGGGGGAAAGGGCGGCUGUGGGUGCAGCCUCAACAGACUUAAACGUUCCUGCCUGCCAGCUCCUUGGAUCUCCCAACACAGCGCUCAAGCUCUACUAAGGGACAGACUGCCUCCUCAAGUGGAUCCCUGACCCCCGUGCCUCCUGACUGGGAGACACCUCCCAGCAGGGGUCGACAGACACCACAUACAGGAGAGCUCCAGCAGGCAUCUGGCGCAUUCCCCUCUGGGACGAAGCUUCCAGAGGAAGGAACAGAUAGCAAUCUUUGCUGUUCUGCAGCCUCCGCUGAAUGAUACCAAGGCAAACAAGGUCUAGAGUGGACCUCCAGCAAACUCCAGUAGACCUGCAGAAGAGAGGCCUGACUGUUAGAAGGAAAACCAACACACAGAAAGCAAUAGCAUCCACAUCAACAAAAAAGACGACCACACAAAAACCCCAUCCGAAGGUCACCAACAUCAAAGACCAAAGGUACACAAAUCCACAAAGAUUAGGAAAAAAACGUGAAAAGGGCUGAAAAUUCCAAAAACCAGAAUGCUUCCUCUUCUCCAAGGAUCACAACUCCUCGCUAGCAAGGGAACAAAACAAGACGGAUAAUAAGAUUGAUGAAUUGACUCAAGUAGGCUUCAGAAGGAGGUAAUAACAAACUCCUCCAAGCUAAAGGAGCAUCUUCUAACCCAAUGCAAGGAAGCUAAGAACCUUGGUAAAAGGUUACAGGAACUGCUAACUAGAAUAACCAGCUUAGAGAAGAACAUAACUGACCUGAUGGAGCUGAAAAACAGAGUACAAGAACUUCAUGCAGCAUACACAAGUAUCAAUAGCUGAAUGAAUUAAGCAGAAGAAAGG
This 2151-nucleotide long non-coding RNA is filed under the name Homo sapiens (human). RNAcentral's name for it is "HSALNT0308523". Lineage: Eukaryota; Metazoa; Chordata; Mammalia; Primates; Hominidae. The record is from RNAcentral.